GGAAGUUCUGGGAGAUGAUGACAGGCUCCAGCUCGGGCUAUGGGCGUCACUUAUGGCCUGGAAUUUACCUAGGCAACACUGCAGCCCAGGGAACCACCCGGAGGCUGACCAGCCUUCCCGUACAAGCCAUCAGAAAGGGGAGGCCACCCGGGUGCCCACCAGCGGGUGAUGAAGACAGACAUGGAGGACGACAGCGAGGAGGAACCUCAAACCUCGUGCUGUGUGAAAGGAGCCCAUCUCGAGAGGUCACACAGUGUAGGAUAGGGCGUACCAGCUGGCGGGUCUGGGGUCUCCUGGGAGGGUGAGGAAAAUGUCUCGGAAUGAGAUAAAGGUGAUGGCUGCAUAGCACGAUGAAUGCACAAAGGGUCGCUAUGUUUCAAAGGGGUUAUUUUAUGCAAUGUGAAUUUCACCUUCAUUUAAGAAAAAAGAGAAAAACGUCAUCCCAAGACUGGAUUCUGCACCUCACUUCUCCAGCAGUUUUGAUACAGAAAGAAGCGGUCGUGCCCAGGCCUCCGGGGUGCUCCGUGCCGG
RNAcentral lists this long non-coding RNA (531 nucleotides) under Homo sapiens (human). RNAcentral describes it as "HSALNT0000727". Lineage: Eukaryota; Metazoa; Chordata; Mammalia; Primates; Hominidae. The record is from RNAcentral.